Molecule: unclassified non-coding RNA, 334 nt
Filed under: soil metagenome
Description: partial contains 5.8S ribosomal RNA, internal transcribed spacer 2, and large subunit ribosomal RNA
Rfam family: 5.8S ribosomal RNA (bases 1-120)
Source: RNAcentral
GAUGAAGAACGCAGCGAAAUGCGAUAAGUAAUGUGAAUUGCAGAAUUCAGUGAAUCAUCGAAUCUUUGAACGCACAUUGCGCCCGCCAGUAUUCUGGCGAGCAUGCCUGUUCGAGCGUCAUUUCAACCAUCAAGCCCCAGGCUUGUGUUGGAGCCUUGCGGCUGCCGCAGCCUCCCAAAACCAGUGGCGGGCUCGCUAUCACACCGAGUGCAGUAGUUUACUCUUCGCUCAGGGCGUGUGGCGGGUGCUAGCCGUGAAACCCCCAACUUCUCAAGGUUGACCUCGGAUCAGGUAGGAAUACCCGCUGAACUUAAGCAUAUCAAUAAGCGGAGGA